CCCAAGCCUCUCCUCCGCGGCACGAACCCGAGCUACGGCCACUUGAACCCAUAGCCGUCAUCUGCAUCCUUGCCGUUUUCAGUACUGCACUCCUUUCACGAUUCAAUCCCUCCUCAUGGUUUCGUUCUUGAACUGCAUCUAGUAUUGUGAAAAAUAACAGAGAAGAGUGAUGAAAAUACAGAAGAGCAACAAGAAGAAAGAAGAGGAAGAAGACAAGGUAGGAGGAGCGGUAUACAAUCUUGAAUUUUCAUCUGUGGAGAGGUUGAUGCAGGAGAAGCAUUCCAGGGAGGAGAAGAAAGCCGAUGAAAGGGUGGAACCCAACCAAAGGGCCAUUUGAUCGAUCUUCUUCCUCGACAUGAUGUUGUUGUUGGAAUUCUCCAUCAUUAGUCGCGGAAUCAGAUCGAGAAUGCAAUCCGGUGAAAAAUGAAGCAAGAUUUCUCACAUUGGUGGAAAACAAAGCAAGAUUUCUCGCGUGAUCGGAAGAGUUUAGGUUCACAAGUUUUUUUUUCCCCACUUUCAGUCCCAAUUACAAUUCCUCUAAAUUGAGACCUGCAUACGAAACAGGCCUUAAUGUUCAUGUAUAUGUAAGCACGUCUUUCUUCGUGGUCUAGACACUUCUUCAUCAGUUUCACAGGUUAAAGCUACAAAGGAUUCGGGGCCGCACGAAAGGGUGUGGGGCUGUAUAGGAGCAUGCAAAAUAUUUGUUGUUCGUAGCACAUUCUUAUAGAUUAGAGCAAUGCCGAGCUCAGGCGCGUGAAGUGGAGCAGGAUUUAAUGAUAUGCCAGAGGACGAGCAAGCAGAACGGGAAAUGGUCCAAAUCUACCGUGCAAUUGUUUGGUCUAUCACAUUUUCCCACACAUGAUUUUUCAGCAUCAAAUAGGCUUAUUUUGUGGCUUCAAUUAUUUCGAAUACCUGUAGCUAGCACGUAGUUGGUAUAUCUAGUUGAUCACUUAAGUUGUCUUUUGCCAUUACAAUAAAUAAAGGUCAAGGUUAAGACAAAUAGUGAUUAGCUUGUUGGUUAAAAAAAGAUUGAUUAGCUUUCAGUUUCAGUUUGCUGGAUUCAAGAGCCUUUAAUAUUUUAUCUUAUAUAUCUGAGGUUCUGAAUAGUUAACAUACAUAUGGAAUUUUUCUUACAUUCUUCUUAUGUUCUGGCUUGGAGUAAUUUGACAGUUAAAGCUUUCAACUUUAAACUGAAUUUUUAUUGUCAGUAUCAAUUGAAUUACGGAAUGAUUAUUCUGCAUCAUGCCGUGAAGAAUUUAUUUUUCUGGGUCUGCUUCGUAGGAUUCGAGCAAAUGAUUAGUUGCAAAAAAGAUCUUCUCAACAGCUGAGAGGCAAACAGGAUGGCCAUCUGUUGAGUGUUGGUGAUGACAUAUCAGACAAGGGGGCAUGUUUGAAAUAAUUAGUGGUGCUAUGUCUAGAAGUAUUCUUGCUGCCAAGUGUUCAGUAUUUUUGAAAUUUUGGUUUAUGCUAUGUUUAAAUUCUCGUUCUCGCUACCUCAAAAAUUUCAUAUAUGAAA
Prosopis cineraria is the source of this 1516-nucleotide long non-coding RNA. RefSeq lists it as uncharacterized. The record is from RefSeq and is a predicted model, not a curated record. The transcript is spliced from 3 exons. Lineage: Eukaryota; Viridiplantae; Streptophyta; Magnoliopsida; Fabales; Fabaceae.